Molecule: long non-coding RNA, 1713 nt
Organism: Gasterosteus aculeatus aculeatus (three-spined stickleback)
Lineage: Eukaryota; Metazoa; Chordata; Actinopteri; Perciformes; Gasterosteidae
Source: Ensembl
GAAAAGAACAUUGAAAUUGCUUCAAUGCCAAAUGCACACACGCACACACACACACCCGCAAAGACGCAGAGCUUUGCAGAUGCACGGAUGGGCGAGAUGAACCGUGCAUAAACAUGUGCAGGUACGCACACACACUACACACCAAAGAGUCCAUGCAGUGAUGCCGAUGACGAGGCUGCAGCUGUUAUGAGUGUGAUAACGAGAACGCGGCACCUUCUCGACAUUAAGAAGCACAUCACUCUGUCUGCCGUGUCUCCCGCUGACCCUCUGGCGGCCAUUUGCACGAUGCCCCUCGACAGAGCACAAGACAGACGGUCUUUUAAACUCUGCGUUGCCCCCCCCUCCCGGUAUGGGGAGCAGUAGAGCGUUCGGAGACAGAAGGAUCUCUGAGGCAUGAAUUAACUUUACCCGAAAUGCUUCCUGUCAUCAGAGGACGCCAGCUCUGAUGGAUGGAUGGGGAGGAUGAGAGACGGUUGGGAUCUUCCAGCAGAGCCUUCUGUGUGAAUGAUGUUCUGUGCAGCUUGAAGACGAGCAGAGGGAGAGGCGUGCGUCUACACAAUAUCCAGAUAAUUAAGCUCUGACAUAACGGAGCGCGACGGAUUCACCGGGAAGCCGUUGGCCACGAAAAGGAACGGACGGACGAGCAGACUUUCAUUUUUUUUUUUUGCUACGAGUGUGUGAUGUGCUUUUGAUUGACUGGAGAAUUACUGCCAAACAUAUACGGGGGGUAAACAGAGGGCAAAAGCAGUUUGUUUGUUUGUUUGUUGUUGUUGUUGUGUAGACAUCGGGGGUCCAGGGGUCAGACCGCUGAGGGUGACUUUGACAGCACGCCACAGGGCUCUGGCACAAGACCGAGAGAAGAAAGAAGAAAACGCCACGAGGGAGGGGAAAAGAGAGAAAAGCCGUGAAAAUAAACGCAGACGAGAACAUUUGUGACAAAACAACAAAAAAUAAAUUCAAACAGCUUUUCCUCCAAGGCUCUUUUCUCCAAUCGCCCCUGUCGUAUUCUGCAAAGCUUCGCUGGCCUGUCACAAAAACAAGGUUAGCAGUCUUUUCCCCCCCCGGCUUAGUGGCCCCCUUUCUGUGGCAGAUACAAAAUGUUUUAUCAAACCCUGUUUAUGGAAAUGUCAUGUCUCGCUGCAUAAUAGAGGAGCUAGAGACGGAUGAAAAACAACACCAGAGGCUGACAGGCCGCCAGCGAGGGGAAGUUCCUGCGUUAAAAAUGAGUUCUCAACAAGGGGCUCGGGCAGAAAUGACCGCUCACCUCGGCGUCCCCUCGCGCUUUCACCUUCACCCGCGAGGCCCUGUUUGGGGUUUGGAUCCAUCCAAAAAAAUCAUCCAAAAAAUGUGCCCCAUUUCCAUGAGAGAACCAGAAAAAAAGAAAUGACAGAAAGAAAUGAGAUCUGAUGGCGGAUGUGGGGAACGGGGAGAUGAAACUGUCAAAUAUCUGUGUGAAAAAGCUCUUUAGUUCACUUGCACUAUUUGUAGCGGCAGCCGGCUCGUGCUAGAUUGGAUGCUAACACUGAAUUACACAAGCGAAUUCCUGCAAGUGCUCCGAAUUAACCCAGUUAGCUUUCACAGACUCAACAGUUGCCGUCCCAAUUUCCGAAUGCACCAGAUGUUUGGAUGCUUCGCACCGGGGGACCGGCGAGGACGAGAUCAAACCGGGAAGUUGUCAAUUAUUUGUUGAUUUUCUGAGAAAAUAAUCCAUCU